GGGUUGUGAGGUUAAGCGACUAAGCGUACACGGUGGAUGCCCUGGCAGUCAGAGGCGAUGAAGGACGUGCUAAUCUGCGAAAAGCGCCGGCGAGGUGAUAUGAACCUUUGACCCGGCGAUGUCCGAAUGGGGAAACCCAGUGUGUUUCGACACACUAUCGUUAACUGAAUACAUAGGUUAACGAGGCGAACCGGGGGAACUGAAACAUCUAAGUACCCCGAGGAAAAGAAAUCAACCGAGAUUCCCCCAGUAGCGGCGAGCGAACGGGGAGCAGCCCGGGGUCUGAAUCAGCUUGUGUGUUAGUGGAACGGUCUGGAAAGUCCGACGGUACAGGGUGAUAGUCCCGUACACGAAAGCACACAGGUUGUGAACUCGAAGAGUAGGGCGGGACACGUGGUAUCCUGUCUGAAUAUGGGGGGACCAUCCUCCAAGGCUAAAUACUCCUGACUGACCGAUAGUGAACCAGUACCGUGAGGGAAAGGCGAAAAGAACCCCGGCGAGGGGAGUGAAAAAGAACCUGAAACCGUGUACGUACAAGCAGUGGGAGCCUACUUGUUAGGUGACUGCGUACCUUUUGUAUAAUGGGUCAGCGACUUAUAUUCUGUAGCAAGGUUAACCGUAUAGGGGAGCCGAAGGGAAACCGAGUCUUAACUGGGCGUUAAGUUGCAGGGUAUAGACCCGAAACCCGGUGAUCUAGCCAUGGGCAGGUUGAAGGUUGGGUAACACUAACUGGAGGACCGAACCGACUAAUGUUGAAAAAUUAGCGGAUGACCUGUGGCUGGGGGUGAAAGGCCAAUCAAACCGGGAGAUAGCUGGUUCUCCCCGAAAGCUAUUUAGGUAGCGCCUCGUGAACUCAUCUUCGGGGGUAGAGCACUGUUUCGGCUAGGGGGCCAUCCCGGCUUACCAACCCGAUGCAAACUACGAAUACCGAAGAAUGUUAUCACGGGAGACACACGGCGGGUGCUAACGUCCGUCGUGAAGAGGGAAACAACCCAGACCGCCAGCUAAGGUCCCAAAGUCAUGGUUAAGUGGGAAACGAUGUGGGAAGGCACAGACAGCCAGGAUGUUGGCUUAGAAGCAGCCAUCAUUUAAAGAAAGCGUAAUAGCUCACUGGUCGAGUCGGCCUGCGCGGAAGAUGUAACGGGGCUAAACCAUGCACCGAAGCUGCGGCAGCGACACUAUGUGUUGUUGGGUAGGGGAGCGUUCUGUAAGCCGUUGAAGGUGGCCUGUGAGGGUUGCUGGAGGUAUCAGAAGUGCGAAUGCUGACAUAAGUAACGAUAAAGCGGGUGAAAAGCCCGCUCGCCGGAAGACCAAGGGUUCCUGUCCAACGUUAAUCGGGGCAGGGUGAGUCGACCCCUAAGGCGAGGCCGAAAGGCGUAGUCGAUGGGAAACAGGUUAAUAUUCCUGUACUUGGUGUUACUGCGAAGGGGGGACGGAGAAGGCUAUGUUAGCCGGGCGACGGUUGUCCCGGUUUAAGCAUGUAGGCGGAGGUUCCAGGUAAAUCCGGUACCUUUUUAACGCUGAGGUGUGAUGACGAGGCACUACGGUGCUGAAGUAACAAAUGCCCUGCUUCCAGGAAAAGCCUCUAAGCAUCAGGUAACACGAAAUCGUACCCCAAACCGACACAGGUGGUCAGGUAGAGAAUACCAAGGCGCUUGAGAGAACUCGGGUGAAGGAACUAGGCAAAAUGGUGCCGUAACUUCGGGAGAAGGCACGCUGAUAUGUAGGUGAAGCCCCUGCGGGUGGAGCUGAAAUCAGUCGAAGAUACCAGCUGGCUGCAACUGUUUAUUAAAAACACAGCACUGUGCAAACACGAAAGUGGACGUAUACGGUGUGACGCCUGCCCGGUGCCGGAAGGUUAAUUGAUGGGGUUAGCGGUAACGCGAAGCUCUUGAUCGAAGCCCCGGUAAACGGCGGCCGUAACUAUAACGGUCCUAAGGUAGCGAAAUUCCUUGUCGGGUAAGUUCCGACCUGCACGAAUGGCGUAAUGAUGGCCAGGCUGUCUCCACCCGAGACUCAGUGAAAUUGAACUCGCUGUGAAGAUGCAGUGUACCCGCGGCAAGACGGAAAGACCCCGUGAACCUUUACUAUAGCUUGACACUGAACACUGGUCCUUGAUGUGUAGGAUAGGUGGGAGGCUUUGAAGCGUGGACGCCAGUCUGCGUGGAGCCGACCUUGAAAUACCACCCUUUAAUGGCUGGUGUUCUAACGUAGACCCGUAAUCCGGGUUGCGGACAGUGUCUGGUGGGUAGUUUGACUGGGGCGGUCUCCUCCCAAAGAGUAACGGAGGAGCACGAAGGUUAGCUAAUCCUGGUCGGACAUCAGGAGGUUAGUGCAAUGGCAUAAGCUAGCUUGACUGCGAGAGUGACGGCUCGAGCAGGUGCGAAAGCAGGUCAUAGUGAUCCGGUGGUUCUGAAUGGAAGGGCCAUCGCUCAACGGAUAAAAGGUACUCCGGGGAUAACAGGCUGAUACCGCCCAAGAGUUCAUAUCGACGGCGGUGUUUGGCACCUCGAUGUCGGCUCAUCACAUCCUGGGGCUGAAGUAGGUCCCAAGGGUAUGGCUGUUCGCCAUUUAAAGUGGUACGCGAGCUGGGUUUAGAACGUCGUGAGACAGUUCGGUCCCUAUCUGCCGUGGGCGCUGGAGAAUUGAGGGGGGCUGCUCCUAGUACGAGAGGACCGGAGUGGACGCAUCACUGGUGUUCGGGUUGUCAUGCCAAUGGCACUGCCCGGUAGCUAAAUGCGGAAGAGAUAAGUGCUGAAAGCAUCUAAGCACGAAACUUGCCCCGAGAUGAGUUCUCCCUGAGACUAUAAGUCUCCUGAAGGAACGUUGAAGACGACGACGUUGAUAGGUCGGGUGUGUAAGCGCAGCGAUGCGUUGAGCUAACCGAUACUAAUGAACCGUGAGGCUUAACCUUACAACGCCGAAGGUGUUU
This 2932-nucleotide ribosomal RNA is filed under the name Enterobacter cloacae. Its description in RNAcentral is "bacterial LSU rRNA". It matches the Rfam family "Bacterial large subunit ribosomal RNA". Lineage: Bacteria; Pseudomonadati; Pseudomonadota; Gammaproteobacteria; Enterobacterales; Enterobacteriaceae. The record is from RNAcentral.